This is a long non-coding RNA of Bos taurus (domestic cattle), 561 nucleotides long. The record is from Ensembl. NCBI's taxonomy places the organism in Eukaryota, Metazoa, Chordata, Mammalia, Artiodactyla, Bovidae.
GGCAGGCUUUGAUGGGGGCGUAAGUGAUCAUUAACAGCUGUAAUCACAGGAAGAUGAAGACACUCAAGAAGAAGAGCAUUUCAGGGUGAUCCCCUACCAGAGAUGGCACCCUUGCUGCCUGCAUUGGGAGCUUGGAGUCUUAACCACUGGACUGCCAGGGAAGUCCCUGUAAUCUCACCUUUAAAAUGAGAAGUACCAGGAGUUCUUUUUUGCUGCUCAGUGUCACUGGUUCUCAGGAGAACAAGGUGAAGUCUUCAUGAGAAUAGUCUCUUCCAGUUUGGCAUGAGGGCUGUGCAGAGCAGCAUUUCUGAAGCUCCCGGGCAAGUUAUAUUUGCCAAAACAAAGCGUGGGCGGAAGGUAGCAGGAAAGAACUGGCUGGUAGCACUUUCUACCUGGGAAAAUGCUGCCAAAGAGGAAUCCGCAACAGAAGUGCCGAGGAAAAAGCACUCGACUCUCCACAAAGAUUGAAGCAUAGCAAACAUUAGACAACACCAAACUUGUUUGGGCUUCCCAAGAUUUCAUUUUUGUUCUUUUUAUGCUCAAUAAAGCCUGUGUUUGGUG